AGAGUUUGAUCAUGGCUCAGGACGAACGCUGACGGUGUGCUUUAGACAUGCAAGUCGAACGCGAAAGCCCUUCGGGGUGAGUAGAGUGGCGAACGGGUGAGUAACACGUGGGUAACCUACCCCUCGCAGGGGGAUAACCGGGGGAAACCCCGGCUAAUACCCCGUACGCUUGCUGGGUCGCAUGGCCCGGCAAGGAAACGGUAGCUUCGGCCAUCCGGCGAGGGAUGGGCCCGCGGUGCAUUAGCUAGUUGGUGGGGUAACGGCCUACCAAGGCGACGAUGCAUAGCUGGUCUGAGAGGACGAUCAGCCACACUGGGACUGAGACACGGCCCAGACUCCUACGGGAGGCAGCAGUCGGGAAUCUUGCGCAAUGGGCGAAAGCCUGACGCAGCAACACCGUGUGAGCGACGAAGGCCUUCGGGUCGUAAAGCUCUGUUGUUGGGGACGAAGGGUUAGGGGUUAAUAGCCCCGAGCCUGACGGUACCCUUCGAGGAAGCCCCGGCUAACUACGUGCCAGCAGCCGCGGUAAUACGUAGGGGGCGAGCGUUGUCCGGAAUUAUUGGGCGUAAAGAGCGUGUAGGCGGCCCGGUAAGUCCGCCGUGAAAGCUUGGGGCUCAACCCCAAGUUUGCGGUGGAUACUGUCGGGCUAGAGGGUGGUAGAGGCGAGUGGAAUUCCCGGUGUAGCGGUGAAAUGCGCAGAUAUCGGGAGGAACACCAGUAGCGAAGGCGGCUCGCUGGGCCAUACCUGACGCUGAGACGCGAAAGCGUGGGGAGCGAACAGGAUUAGAUACCCCGGUAGUCC
Molecule: ribosomal RNA, 802 nt
Filed under: uncultured Rubrobacter sp.
Lineage: Bacteria; Bacillati; Actinomycetota; Rubrobacteria; Rubrobacterales; Rubrobacteraceae
Description: bacterial SSU rRNA
Rfam family: Bacterial small subunit ribosomal RNA
Source: RNAcentral